Non-coding RNA from Brachypodium distachyon (stiff brome), 118 nucleotides. NCBI's taxonomy places the organism in Eukaryota, Viridiplantae, Streptophyta, Magnoliopsida, Poales, Poaceae. The record is from Rfam.
CAGGGUACCCUUUGACACUCCUUAGUUCAAACAAAUGAACUAGUUUUUAAAAAAAAAUUAUGUCAUUUUGAAAUUUUAGUUCAUUUGGUUGAACUAAAGAGGGUCAAAAGGUACCCUG